UACGGGGGGAGCAAGCGUUGUUCGGAUUUACUGGGCGUAAAGGGCGCGUAGGCGGCGCGGUAAGUCACUUGUGAAAUCUCUGAGCUUAACUCAGAACGGCCAAGUGAUACUGCAGUGCUAGAGUGCAGAAGGGGCAAUCGGAAUUCUUGGUGUAGCGGUGAAAUGCGUAGAUAUCAAGAGGAACACCUGAGGUGAAGACGGGUUGCUAGGCUGACACUGACGCUGAGGCGCGAAAGCCAGGGGAGCAAACGGG
RNAcentral lists this ribosomal RNA (253 nucleotides) under uncultured bacterium. RNAcentral's name for it is "partial 16S ribosomal RNA". It matches the Rfam family "Bacterial small subunit ribosomal RNA", at positions 524 to 776 of the family's 1533-position model. The record is from RNAcentral.